RNAcentral lists this ribosomal RNA (541 nucleotides) under Mandibulata sp. NZAC 03011276. RNAcentral's name for it is "eukaryotic LSU rRNA". It matches the Rfam family "Eukaryotic large subunit ribosomal RNA", at positions 533 to 911 of the family's 3401-position model. Lineage: Eukaryota; Metazoa; Arthropoda. The record is from RNAcentral.
CCUUGCCCCGCUCUGUCGGCGUGACGUAUGACGUCUCUUGUCACAUGUCGGGGCGGCAAUACAAAUCCGAACCACCGACUGUCUGCGGCAUUGCCCGAUUCGGGUCCACUUGCGACCCGUCUUGAAACACGGACCAAGGAGCGUAACACAUGCGCGAGUCGAAGGGUGCUUCUAAACCCAUAGGCGCAGCGAAAGCGUAGGGGACGAUGGUUUAUUAAGGUCGUGCUCUCCGGUCGCGGUUUUAAACCCGCCUCCACGGAUCCGGCCAGCCCGCAGUCCCGGGGCACCUCAUGUGGGUCCUGGUCGUCGUCCCGUCGAUUCCCCGUCACGUCCCGUCUCAGCCCCGUCAAAAAGGGUUCGGGGCGGGUGCCGUGCGGACCAGUUUCGUGCGGGAACCACGGCGGCCCCGACUCGAGGCGCACCUGUGAGCGUAUGUGUUGUUACCCGAAAGAUGGUGAACUAUGCCUGGCCAGGACGAUAGCCAGGGGAAACCCUGGUGGAAGUCCGUAGCGAUUCUGACGUGCAAAUCGAUCGUCGGAGC